RNAcentral lists this ribosomal RNA (831 nucleotides) under uncultured bacterium. RNAcentral's name for it is "bacterial SSU rRNA". It matches the Rfam family "Bacterial small subunit ribosomal RNA", at positions 53 to 877 of the family's 1533-position model. The record is from RNAcentral.
ACAUGCAAGUCGAGGGGCAGCAUGAACUUAGCUUGCUAAGUUUGAUGGCGACCGGCGCACGGGUGAGUAACACGUAUCCAACCUGCCGAUGACUCGGGGAUAGCCUUUCGAAAGAAAGAUUAAUACCCGAUGGCAUAGUUCUUCCGCAUGGUGGAACUAUUAAAGAAUUUCGGUCAUCGAUGGGGAUGCGUUCCAUUAGGUUGUUGGCGGGGUAACGGCCCACCAAGCCUUCGAUGGAUAGGGGUUCUGAGAGGAAGGUCCCCCACAUUGGAACUGAGACACGGUCCAAACUCCUACGGGAGGCAGCAGUGAGGAAUAUUGGUCAAUGGACGAGAGUCUGAACCAGCCAAGUAGCGUGAAGGAUGACUGCCCUAUGGGUUGUAAACUUCUUUUAUACGGGAAUAAAGUGAGGCACGUGUGCCUUUUUGUAUGUACCGUAUGAAUAAGGAUCGGCUAACUCCGUGCCAGCAGCCGCGGUAAUACGGAGGAUCCGAGCGUUAUCCGGAUUUAUUGAGUUUAAAGGGAGCGUAGGCGGACGCUUAAGUCAGUUGUGAAAGUUUGCGGCUCAACCGUAAAAUUGCAGUUGAUACUGGGUGUCUUGAGUACAGUAGAGGCAGGCGGAAUUCGUGGUGUAGCGGUGAAAUGCUUAGAUAUCACGAAGAACUCCGAUUGCGAAGGCAGCUUGCUGGACUGUAACUGACGCUGAUGCUCGAAAGUGUGGGUAUCAAACAGGAUUAGAUACCCUGGUAGUCCACACAGUAAACGAUGAAUACUCGCUGUUUGCGAUAUACAGUAAGCGGCCAAGCGAAAGCGUUAAGUAUUCCACCUGGG